This 2812-nucleotide long non-coding RNA is filed under the name Canis lupus familiaris (dog). Its description in RNAcentral is "lncRNA (ENSCAFG00000051843.1, ENSCAFG00805028000.1)". The record is from RNAcentral. Lineage: Eukaryota; Metazoa; Chordata; Mammalia; Carnivora; Canidae.
UUGCAUAGUGAAUAACCUCCAGGGGAGUAAAGGUUGUGGUGAGAAGGUUCAUUAGUAGAUUGGAAGCUGACAAGAGAAUGCAAUGACAUCCUCAGCCAUAGUCUGGUGGGAAUGUUGAGAAGUGCUGAGACUCUAGAUUUGUUUUGAAAGUAGGGCUGGGAAAAUGUACUUCACAUUGAGUGUAAGGUGUAAGACAGGAACUAGAAAUGGCAUAAUAGUUUUCGCACAUGGGUGGAUUUACUGUCACCUGAAAUGGGGAACACUGUGGGAGAGCAGGAUAGGAGAGGGUCUGUUUAAACACUCUUAUUUGAGAUGCCUAAAGUUAUAGAAAUGGAGGUAAUGAGUUGGUAGUUGGAAAUAUGGGUCUGAAGUUUGAAUAAAUUUGUGAAAAGGACAUACACUUUCGGGAAUCAUCAGUGUAUAGUAAGUAUACAGAAGCCAUUAGCUUGGAUACUAUCAUCAGGGGUAGGUAAGGUAUAUAAAAGUUUUGGGGACUCAGUGCCAGGUCACUCUAAGAGUGGAUGUAACAGAAGGAAUUAAGAAAUGAGGCCAUGAGGAAGUUUCAAGUUAAGUAGGAGAAAAUCAGGACAAUGAGACCAUGAUGAAAUUCCAAGUUACAUAGGAAAAGUCCAGGACUGCAUAAGGCAAAUUGAGAAAGUGAUUCAGGGAGGCAGAGAUGAUCAAUUUUGUCACAUGUUGCUGAGUCAAGAAGAGGAUAGAAAAUUAAGUGUCUCUUCAGUUAUGUAGUGCUCACCUAUUGCCUUAACUAGAGACAUUGUGGUGGAGUGGUUGAGGCAAAGAAAAUAGUAAAAUACAUGAGGAAUUUUACAUAGAUACAUUUUAUGAUUCUUAUAAGUAUCCGUAUGGAUAAUAGCACUGUGUUAUAAAUGUGUUUUUAUAGAUAAACAACUAUACCUGGAGAGUGGUAAAACUUAGAUUAAUUCCAAACUGGAGAGAGGGUUGUAGUGAUUGGUUAUGAGGCUUUGUACUGUACUCUGUCAUGUAAACUUUCAUAAAACAUGGAUAAAAUCAUGGAACAAUAUGUACCAAAGAGGAGAAACACACAAACCCAAGAGGACUAGCAAAUAUAGUGAAUGGCAAGAUACGAUGUGAAAAAAUUUUGAAAACAUGCAAUAGGGCAAAAUUUGAAAGGUUAAAUUUAGCAUGAACAGAUGUCAGAUCCUACAUUAAUUUUAAAAAUCUUAUUUUCAUAGAGCCUAAUUAUAAUUCAUCAAAAGAAUGAAAGGCUUACUAGAUUAUAAACUCCAUAAAGUUUUGAAGUAUUAGGUUGUACUAAAGGAAUUACACAGAAUUGGGAAAGGGGAUUUCUUUUAGAACUUGGAAAAAAUACACCACUGGUAGAAAAUUAAAUGUUGUUCUUAGACAGGAUUUAAAAGAGUUCUUAGCAAACUGAAGUAUGUCCAUAAAUGGCAGGUUUGACUAAUUAAGAGACCAUAUCAAUCUUAUGUUUUUAUACUCAUUAGUAACCUGAGUUUUUUGAAUUAACAAAAAUUAACUGACAAAAAUCCAUUUUCACAUACUUGAGGGGAAUGUUGACUUACGUGGCCCAUUUCAAGACUUCCACAUAUCUCAGACCAUAUGACAGGCAAAUAUUUUUACCAGACAUUUCCAGGAGGGGGGAUAGACUAUACUGAAUUUCUGAAAGUAAUAAUGUCAGAAACGUUUCAUUUUUUUUCCUGUGGACCAUCUCAUGGAACUAAUGUUCUAUAGAAAAGGGCCUGGUAGAUGGCAUGUGAAAAAUAAAGACUAAUAUGCAUAUUCCAAACAAAAGAAUGCUUGGUGAGGAAAGAAUAAUAUGAGAGAAUUAAGCUUUCCAGCUUUAGAUUUCCAACCAGCAGCAUGGAGCUGUGUUUGUGGAAGAUCAUCUCUAUUCUCUUUAGAGCCGAGAGGAUAGACGCUACAAAUAGAGAGGCUUUGACUCAACAUGAAGAAAACCUUGAUAAAUUGAGUGAUUUAUAUAAAGUUGUAAAAUCCCCAUCACCGAAAUAUUUAAGAACUUUUGCACAUUUGGUUGAGUAAAAUGCUUAAGGAUUUUCAGAAAAGAUUUAUGAGAAUUUUGCUUGUGACCAAUGACCUUUUCAGUUAUCCUCUAGGAUAAUUUUGAAAUUUCAGAUGGCUGAUUUAUAGUGCUUAGUUUGGGACUAAUGUUUUUCUUCUGAUAAUACCCAAAAUGCCUUUUCUGCUAGGGAGAAUAUUCUGAGCCAUCCUCUUACUUUCUCACAGUUAGUGAGUGUGGGCCUGAACAAUUUAUUUUGUACUUAAGUGAAACACACUCUGGAAGAAAAUGAAAUAGAAUUCUAAAUACAUAUUAAAUUCUAAAGUGGAUCCUUCUUUUAAAAAAUGUCACUGUGAUGGAUGAUAUUUUCAGGAUUGUUCCCUUUCAUUUACACAAUUAUUUGACAGUUGAUUUUCAGCAUUCAAUGUCUAUUAUGGCCAUUGUCUGAUAUUUAUGGAGCGGUUCUCUUUAUGGGAUUAUUCUUUCACAUUUGGCACAUCGAAAAUACUUUUUUGUAUCUGUCUUAAAUUAUAAAUGCUUAAUUAAAGACUGAAAAUAUUUUCAGAAAGUCUGUAAGAUCUUUACCUACACAUGUACAAACACAUAUGCACAUGCACGCUAUAUAUUUUUCUUUGACACAAAGAACCAGUCCACCAAUAGAUAGCCUUCCUGAAUUCAGGGUUUGUUUUAAUAAAAUAAUUCUCUGUACAAAUAAUGGGACAUUUGGGAAAGUUCAUGUUCUUAAUUUCCUGACAAAUUCAGCAAGAAAAAAUACAGUGGCAUUUGAAAACUGCA